Pteropus vampyrus (large flying fox) is the source of this 86-nucleotide microRNA precursor. The record is from Ensembl. Lineage: Eukaryota; Metazoa; Chordata; Mammalia; Chiroptera; Pteropodidae.
GCUAGAGAAGGUAGAGGAGAUGGCGCAGGGGAUACGGACUAAGACUUGGGGGUUCCUGCAAUCUUCAGACCUGUGUCCUCCUCUUC